Molecule: long non-coding RNA, 226 nt
Filed under: Elaeis guineensis (African oil palm)
Lineage: Eukaryota; Viridiplantae; Streptophyta; Magnoliopsida; Arecales; Arecaceae
Description: long non-coding RNA (EGUI_LNC013158)
Source: RNAcentral
UCUCUCUCUAAAAUUACCUAUGGACCCUUAUCGAAUCAUGUCUUCCUCUUCUAAGAACCUAUGUUGACUUCGACAAGAUGACCUGAAACUGCUUUGAUAUUUAUGUCAUAUAUCAAAUCAAUACCGGACCUAUCUAAUAUCUUUGAAAUCCACUACUGAUGAACUCUAUUGAUCAGUUUUGAUCUUAAUCCAAUCCAUGCUCCAUGAUUCCUUGAUCAAAGUUGCU